UACGUAGGGUGCAAGCGUUGUCCGGAAUUAUUGGGCGUAAAGAGCUCGUAGGCGGUUCGUCGCGUCGGCUGUGAAAACCUGAGGCUCAACCUCAGGCCUGCAGUCGAUACGGGCGGACUAGAGGUAUGCAGGGGAGAACGGAAUUCCUGGUGUAGCGGUGAAAUGCGCAGAUAUCAGGAGGAACACCGGUGGCGAAGGCGGUUCUCUGGGCAUUACCUGACGCUGAGGAGCGAAAGUGUGGGGAGCGAACAGG
Molecule: ribosomal RNA, 253 nt
Filed under: uncultured bacterium
Lineage: Bacteria
Description: partial 16S ribosomal RNA
Rfam family: Bacterial small subunit ribosomal RNA
Source: RNAcentral